Long non-coding RNA from Lolium rigidum, 756 nucleotides. RefSeq lists it as uncharacterized. Lineage: Eukaryota; Viridiplantae; Streptophyta; Magnoliopsida; Poales; Poaceae. The transcript has 4 exons. The record is from RefSeq and is a predicted model, not a curated record.
UUCCAGCUCACGCACUCACUUUCUUCCUCUGCUCCAGGCCCGUUCUGGAUCUCCGCCCUGCUUCCUUUCCUCUUCGUGUCUUCCUCCAUGGAUCUACGUCUACCUCGGCGCGCGGUGCUUGCUUCGACUCAAGGCUCCAGCUACCAUCUCUUCGGCCUUCGGAUUUGCAGAGUAAACCAAGUGUGGAGGGGGCGGUGAAGGCAAUUAUAUAUGCCAUUGGGGUUGAGGGAGGAAGCAAGUACAGGAGAAGAUAAUCCACACUUACAAAAGUAUUUUCCCCAAGGAUGGAGCUAACCUAGAGGGAAAAUUUCCCUAAUGCAUGUUCAAGUUUGCUGGUAGCUUCAACUUGGAAACUAUGUCCCCGUGGAUCAUGGACUUCGUGUUCUGCGUGGAGUAUGCACUUCGCGGGGGUUGACUUGUGCCAUCAGAUUCAUCCAUGCAUCGAGUGUAUAUCUUGAUCACAGUGACGAAUGUGCGUUACGGUUACAUCCGAGAGGAGCAGGUUGAUAUGCGUAAGAGGCAGCGGAGACAAAUGAGUCAACGAAUCAACAAAUCUAUUUUUCAAAUCUCACCCACUCGAGGAUCUUCUUGACCGUGCUUGGCUCUUUUAUGGAUUGUUCAAAGCCAGGGUCAUGUGCAUAGUGAAAUCAUCAUGGAAUUUUAUUGAAUUAUGUACGGAGAACAAAUCAAUGUUGCGACGAGUGCGGUGUGAAUUGUGAGGACAAGGAUAGUCCAGAGUACCAGCAUGGUGAUCAA